Molecule: ribosomal RNA, 301 nt
Filed under: uncultured bacterium
Lineage: Bacteria
Description: partial 16S ribosomal RNA
Rfam family: Bacterial small subunit ribosomal RNA
Source: RNAcentral
CAGCAGCCGCGGUAAUACGUAGGUGGCGAGCGUUGUCCGGAAUUAUUGGGCGUAAAGCGAGCGCAGGCGGUUAGAUAAGUCUGAAGUUAAAGGCUGUGGCUUAACCAUAGUACGCUUUGGAAACUGUUUAACUUGAGUGCAAGAGGGGAGAGUGGAAUUCCAUGUGUAGCGGUGAAAUGCGUAGAUAUAUGGAGGAACACCGGUGGCGAAAGCGGCUCUCUGGCUUGUAACUGACGCUGAGGCUCGAAAGCGUGGGGAGCAAACAGGAUUAGAUACCCGCGUAGUCCCUGUCUCUUAUACA